UAACCAAAACUUCGGGAGACCUGGGGUC
RNAcentral lists this non-coding RNA (28 nucleotides) under Mus musculus (house mouse). The record is from RNAcentral. Lineage: Eukaryota; Metazoa; Chordata; Mammalia; Rodentia; Muridae.